AUCCGCCUAUGCCCUAGGGCUAGUGGAAGACUUAAGAUGGCGGCGUUUGCACGGAGUGCAAUCACUGCGUCCUUACGGGGGUUGCAAGGCGUCCGAAGUAUGAGUCCACUAACAAAAGUCCAGAAACUCGCCAGUUAAUAGUAUUGUGUCUCUUCAAAAUAUCGGAGAAUAAUUUCUUUCUCGCUGAUCGCCUAACUUCUACUGACGAAGCUUGGAAGUUGCAGAAGGUUGGAGUGCAAUGGCGCGAUCUCGGCUGACUGCAACCUCCACCUCCUGGAUUCAAGCUAUUCUCCUGCCUCAGCCUGCCGAGUAGCUGGGAUUACAGGCAUGUGCCACCGCACCCAGCUAAUUUUGUAUUUUUUAGUAGAGAUGGGGUUUCUCCAUGUUGGUCAGGCUGGUCUUGAACUCCUGACCUCAGGUGAUCCGCCCACCUCAGCCUCCCAAAGUGCUGGGAUUACAGGCGUGAGCCACCGCGCCCGGCCAGAACAUUAGUUUUAAACUUCCUAACCCUUGGGAGAAGGCAAAACACUUGAUGAAAUCUACAUAAAGACUAAAACAUUUUACCAAUUUUGCAUUGUUUGUUUGAAAUUGCAUUGACGACUGGUACUGGCUCCUGUAUCACCCAGCUCUGGAGUUGAAAGAGCUCUUCAUUCCUGAGUCUCCUGUACCACUGAGAAUAGAAAUACAAAAAAAAUUCUAAAACUUGUAUGGAACUACAAAAGACAUUAAAUAAUCAAAGUAAUCUUGAGCAACAAGGACACAGCUGGAGGCAUCACUCUACCUGAUUUUGUAAUCCAUUAUCAAAAAACUGUGGUACCAGCAUAAAAACAGAUUCACUGACCAGUGGAACAGGAAAGCCCAGACAUAACUCAUACAUUUCCAUCCAAUUGAUUUUUGACAAAAGUGGCACACAGAAUGGGGAGAGGACAAAUAAAUAAAUAAAUUGUUUUGAGAUAUCUGUA
Molecule: long non-coding RNA, 962 nt
Filed under: Homo sapiens (human)
Lineage: Eukaryota; Metazoa; Chordata; Mammalia; Primates; Hominidae
Description: JPX transcript, XIST activator
Rfam family: JPX transcript, XIST activator conserved region 1 (bases 15-149)
Source: RNAcentral